CUAAUACCGCAUAAUGCAGCGGCAUCGCAAGAUGACAGUUGUUAAAGGAAUUUAUUUCGCUUGAAGAGGAGCUUGCGGCAGAUUAGCUUGUUGGUAAGGUAACGGCUUACCAAGGCUACGAUCUGUAUCCGGUCUAAGAGGACGGUCGGACACACUGACACUGAAUAACGGGUCAGACUCCUACGGGAGGCAGCAGUCGGGAAUUUUGGGCAAUGGGCGAAAGCCUGACCCAGCAACGCCGCGUGAAGGAUGAAGUAUUUCGGUAUGUAAACUUCGAAAGAAUAGGAAGAAUAAAUGACGGUACUAUUUAUAAGCUCCGGCUAACUACGUGCCAGCAGCCGCGGUAAUACGUAGGGAGCAAGCGUUGUUCGGAUUUACUGGGCGUAAAGGGCGCGUAGGCGGCGCGGUAAGUCACUUGUGAAAUCUCUGAGCUUAACUCAGAACGGCCAAGUGAUACUGCAGUGCUAGAGUGCAGAAGGGGCAAUCGGAAUUCUUGGUGUAGCGGUGAAAUGCGUAGAUAUCAAGAGGAACACCUGAGGUGAAGACGGGUUGCUGGGCUGACACUGACGCUGAGGCGCGAAAGCCAGGGGAGCAAACGGGAUUAGAUACCCCGGUAGUCCUGGCCCUAAACGAUGAAUACUUGGUGUCUGGAGUCAUUAUUGCUCCGGGUGCCGUCGCUAACGUUUUAAGUAUUCCGCCUGGGGAGUACGCUCGCAAGAGUGAAACUCAAAGGAAUUGACGGGGACCCGCACAAGCGGUGGAGCAUGUGGUUUAAUUCGA
RNAcentral lists this ribosomal RNA (780 nucleotides) under uncultured Acidobacteriota bacterium. Its description in RNAcentral is "bacterial SSU rRNA". It matches the Rfam family "Bacterial small subunit ribosomal RNA", at positions 163 to 954 of the family's 1533-position model. Lineage: Bacteria; Pseudomonadati; Acidobacteriota. The record is from RNAcentral.